Long non-coding RNA from Gavialis gangeticus (Gharial), 1131 nucleotides. RefSeq lists it as uncharacterized. The transcript is spliced from 2 exons. The record is from RefSeq and is a predicted model, not a curated record. Lineage: Eukaryota; Metazoa; Chordata; Crocodylia; Gavialidae.
AUGAUUGAAGUUCUGCAUCAGAGUUUCUAAAACCAGGGGUUGCUCAGCUGCCUGGAGGUCAUACCUACACAGCCAGACACCAAACCUGUUGGAUCAACACUGCAGCCCCUGCUAUUCCCACUGCUGCUGUGGUUGCUGCUAAGGUCCUAAGGGCACAGCCAAAGCCUGGGAGUUAGUGUGUAGCCAGGCUGAGGAGGAAGAUGAGAUUGUAUCACUUCACUGCGUGGACAACAAGGACAGAAUGCAAAAUGCUUUCCAUGCCUGCCCACAGCCUUUACACUUCCAGACCUUUAUUACUCCAAAUUUAGGGAUAAAUUUUUCUUGUAAGAGCACCUUUAUAUCAGUAUAAACGUGUCCACAUUAGGGGGUUGUACUUUUGCAUCAAUUUUGGAACUGAAACUGCUCUAGGGAUUCAGGAACUGUCUGUCCACUAGCCCUCACUGCUUUUAGAUGGGGAGGAUUUCUAAACAAAGGUUUGUCCAAAUCAAACCUAUGGGUGUGGAACCCUAAGCCUUUGAAGUACUUGUAGUAGACUGUGAGCUGAAUGUCACAACUUGGCCUCAGUUGCUGUUAGAGAGGGGCAAAUUAUGAUAUUUUCCCAUUUCUCCUUAUUGAGUAACAAGUACCAUUUAACAGGAAAAGAAGUUAAUUUUAACGGUAGUAGAAUUUUAUAAGCAAGAUUUGCUAUAAUGCACCCAAUGUUAACUACUACUAGGCUGUUAGUGGAAAAAAAUAAACUCGUAGCGUAAGAGCUCUAAAAAAAGGAUUAAGUAUUAGUUGUAACGUUUUAAAGAUCCCUGUGCAAACAUUGACCAAAUGGACUUUGCAAAGGAGCACAGAGAUGACUCUCCUGACAACAUGAAAACAUGAAGAGUUCCUGGACAUCUGCUUCACUGCCUUAGCCUAGGGGCUGGAAGAGUGGCUACAGCUGCUCUGACUGUUUUUCUCAAAAUACCCUGUGAAACAUUUAAUAAUGGGUAUGCAAAUGUGAUACCAGCAGGGUGGGUUUAUUGUGCAGUGACUAAUCUCUGUCACAGCACGAUUCUGAGCGUGAACUCUCCAGAAAUGUCCUGAAGAGGCUGUGGGCACAUAUGAUGUGAAGUGAUUCCUAAUACAGAGUUCUUAACUGGA